RNAcentral lists this ribosomal RNA (197 nucleotides) under uncultured bacterium. Its description in RNAcentral is "partial 16S ribosomal RNA". It matches the Rfam family "Bacterial small subunit ribosomal RNA", at positions 335 to 524 of the family's 1533-position model. The record is from RNAcentral.
ACUCCUACGGGAGGCAGCAGUAGGGAAUCUUCCGCAAUGGGCGAAAGCCUGACGGAGCAACGCCGCGUGAGUGAUGAAGGUCUUCGGAUCGUAAAACUCUGUUGUUAGGGAAGAACAAAUUUGUUAGUAACUGAACAGGUCUUGACGGUACCUAACCAGAAAGCCACGGCUAACUACGUGCCAGCAGCCGCGGUAAU